RNAcentral lists this microRNA precursor (62 nucleotides) under Schistosoma mansoni. Its description in RNAcentral is "microRNA sma-mir-96 precursor". Its record names the gene sma-mir-96. The record is from miRBase by way of RNAcentral. Lineage: Eukaryota; Metazoa; Platyhelminthes; Trematoda; Strigeidida; Schistosomatidae.
CCAACUUGGCACUUUGGAAUUGUCACAAGGUAAAUUGUGACAGUUACCAGGUGCCAAACCGG